CUCUCCUUGGUGGCGCGUGGACGCUUGCUGUGAGCACAGCUUGCCGUUUGCCGCCGCUCAGCUUCAGAAAGAUCUCGCCGACGUUCUCCUCCGGGCGGUUGGCUUUACCUUCUCCCUGUCGUGCUCUCUUUCUUCUCUGCCCCUGCUCGCUCUGUUGCUCUGCGCGCCCCCUGAUUUCACUGCGCGCGAGCUCCUGCGCCCGCCUUCUCCCUUGCCGCGUUCCUCUGGUGGCCGCGCGCCCUCCAGCCCGGAGCUCUGCGCGCCCAGCCCAGCCACUCGCCAUGGCUCCUCCCUGCGCGCGUCGGAGUUCCUCUGCUCGGCCGCCUGCCAUGGAGCUCGCCCUGCCCCCUGUUUCCAUGACCGGCGUCCCCAAGCUCCUCCCCUGCCGGCGUCCAGCACCCGGCCGGAUCUCUCAUGGUGCGCGUGCCCUUCUCUUGGCGGCGCUCACUUUGUGCUUCUCUCUCUCAGCGCUCGCGGCUCUUUCUCUCCUGCUCCGUCCAUGGCUGUUUGCCUCUGCUCGCGGCGUCCCUGCUCGCCCAGCCGAGCUCUCCACUACCUAGCUCCAUCUCACGGCGCUCUGUCUGCUCGGUUCCAUGGCCGUGGUACUCCAGCUCGCCGUGCCCUGCUUCCUCUGUUUCCAUGGCCAGCUCUCUGCUCAUCGCGCGCGCCUGGACGCUCUCCCUGGUGGCCGCCUGUUCUCCCUGUGUACCGCGCGAGUUCUUUGGUAGACGCGCGCUGGCCGUGCUCCACUUCGCCCAUCGCGGCGCUCCAGUUCCAACUCGCUGCGCGCCGAGCUCUUCGCUGUUGUCCGUGCGCGCGCCGCUCGUCGACCUCUCUCCUCACGCAUAGCUCGCUCUUUCCUUGUUUGCCGCGCGCACGAAUUUCAUCUGCUCGCCACAGCGUGUCGAGUUCCCGCACCAUCAUCGCUUCUAUCACAAGCUCGUUGGCCACAUUUAUCUUGACCGUGUCAGCUCACGACUGUGGUCGUGUUCAUCGAAUUCGCCAACGCUUUGUUGCCGAUUCGACGGUCGUCGUUUCGCGUGUUGUCGAGCCCGUCGUUUUCCCUGUCUUGUACUCGCGUGGUUUUCUGCUCGCCGGUGCGCCCUCUCGGCUCGCUCGGCUUUAAUUCCCAAUCGCGUCGUCGAUUCCGCCGGUUAGCGUCGUUCGUCGUCGCGUCGCGGGUGCAGCUCUAUAUACGUCACCCUCCUGUGUCGUCGUCGUUCCACGCGUCAGCAAGAAGACCCAAGAAUCGGGUGAAGACGAAGCUAGCAGCGCGAUAUUCCCCAAGCGCUAGACAAAUUGGUUGGAUCGGAAAAUCGCUACCGAUCUCGCGGAUUCGUGUCAUCUGUGGAAACGGUGUGAUAAUUAAUCACGUGAUGCGGAAGACGACCCCAAGUCGACCCCAAGCGCUGGUUAUUCCGCAUGGUGAUACUGAUGGACGAAUCUGAAGAUGGAUAAUCUGAACGAGUGCGUGCCAGGACAAAGGAUGGUCGUCAAGUGGACGUCACCUAACAACACUAACCUAGUGUUACCCAGGCAAGCCCCGGUGCAUGCAACCCCUUCCUUGUGUUUUUAAAUAAUUUUUACACAAUUUAAGUCUAGUGAAAUGUGCAUUAGGUUUAUAGGAGUUGCUUGGAACCCUUUGAUGCAUUGCCUUCCUUGAUAUCCAUACCUUUAUAGAUACUUCUGGUGAAGUAUCAAAAUAUGAUUUACAAAAAUGCUUAGCUCUGCUCAGAUCUUGUGGAUAGAGGUUGUCUUUUUGCAUUAAGGCCUAGCUCAGGGGUUAUCCUGAGGAAAGAUGGCUUCUACCUGCAAGAAUAUUUUCAUUGAGAGCGUGGUGGGAUCUUACUGCAAAGUUCCCUUUGAUGCUCUUUUCAUCCUAGGAACAUAAACAAUCCUAAGGAUGGAAGUACUUAAAUCGGGACUUGGGCUAGGAACAGGUGAUGUUCUACCCAGGUUAGUUAAGGAUUGGAUGCGUAUGUAGGCCUGUUGAUCAAGGACUAUCUUAACUAGCCACAUGCCCCUGGAAAUGGGACAGGGUAAGCUUGAACCCGGCUAUUCCAUACAUGAAAAGACAAUCGCGCACUGGGAGUGGAGAGAUGGCGAGAGUGGCACGUACCCUCCUGGCAAAGGACCG
RNAcentral lists this unclassified non-coding RNA (2137 nucleotides) under Zea mays. Its description in RNAcentral is "misc RNA Zm00001eb097640". The record is from RNAcentral. Lineage: Eukaryota; Viridiplantae; Streptophyta; Magnoliopsida; Poales; Poaceae.